RNAcentral lists this long non-coding RNA (6351 nucleotides) under Marmota monax (woodchuck). The record is from RNAcentral. Lineage: Eukaryota; Metazoa; Chordata; Mammalia; Rodentia; Sciuridae.
CAUACAUGCAUGCAAUAUAAUUUGCUUUAGUUCAUCCCUAGUACUUCCUUUUUCCUUCUCCUCCUCCCUCUCUCUGUUCUCUUUCCUCUACUCUACUCAUCUUCCUUCUAUUUGUUUAUUUUUAUCAGUGCAUUAUAAUAUACAUAGUAGUGUAUGCACCAUAUGCAUACAUGUACAUAAUAUAACUUAAUAAAACAUUUGAAGUGAUGUUCAAAAAUACAAAUUUUUACUGAAUCAAAAUUGCUGAAGAUGUGAACUGGAUGUUAUCAUAUUGAAGGAAUUUAUCAGUUUCAAAGAUGAUUCUUUUUACAUUUUAUGUAUUAGUGCAUUAUAGUUAUAUUUAUCAGUGGAGUUCAUUUUGGCAUAAUCAUACAGGUAUAGAAUGUAAUUUGUUCCAUUUAAGUCCCCAGUGUUUCCUGGCUCACUUUCUUCUCCCUCCAACCUGUUCCUCUAUCUCUACUUUUCUUCCAUCUACUUAUUUAUACUUAUUUAUUGUUUUUUUUAAAUUGGUGUUUUAUAGAAACACAUAAAGUGGAAUUCACUGCAGUGUAUUCAUAUCUGUACACAGCAUAAUUUGGUCAAUUCAUUCCUUAGUUUCUCCCUUUUUGCAUCCCUCUUCCUUCUCCCUUUAUUGUCUUGCUCUACUCCACUGAUUUUUUUCUGGAUAUUAAUCUGCUAUCAAAGGAGUAGCUGGCAAAGAUUUUUUUCUCCCAUUUUGUGGGCACUUUAUGAUCUUAUUUCCUGUGCUCUACAAAAUCUUUUAAAUUAGAUGCUGUCCUAUUUACUGACUCUUGAUCUUAUUUCUUGAGCUUUAGGGACCUUGAUAGGAAGUCAGAACCUGCACCAAUAUGUUUUAUGGAUGAUCCUAUGUUUUCUUGUAGAAGUUAUAGUUCCUGGUCUAAUUCCUAGGUUUUUAAUCCACAUUUUUUGCAGAGUAAAAGUUAUGAAUCUAGUUUUAUUCUUCCAUGUAUGCAUAUGCAGUUUCCUAGCACCAUUUGCCAAAAAGGCUACUUUCCCCCGACAUAUAUUUUUAGCACCUUUGUCAAGAAGGAUGACCGUGUCUAUGUGGGUUUUUCUUUGUGUCUUCUAUUUCAUUAAUUUGGUCUUCACAUCUAUAUUAAUACCAAUACCAUGCUGUUUUUGUUACUAUAGCUCUAUAGUAUAAUUUGAGAUCAGUAUUGUGAUGCUUCCAAUGUUGCUCUUUUUGCCCAGUACAGCAUUGGCCAUUCUGGCUCUUUUAUUUUUCCAAAUUAACUUUAAGAUAUUUUUUUCUAGUUCUGUGAAGAAUGCUUUCAGUUUUUCUCCAUUCAGUAUGAUGUUGGCCUUGGGUUUGUCAUAUAUAACCCUCACAACAUAGAGGUAAGUUCCUUCUAUCCCUAGUUUCUCUAGUGUUUUAAAAAUGAAUGGGUGCCGGACUUAGUCAACAGCUUUUUCUGUAUUUAGGGAUUCUCAUCCUUAAAUUUAUUUAUGUGGUAAGUUACAUUUAUUGAUUUGCAUAUAUUAAAACAACUUUGAAUCUCUGGUUUGAAACCCAGCUGAUCAUAGUGCACUAUUUUCUUAAUGUGUUUUUAAAUGUAGUUUGCUAAUAUUUUAUUAAAAAAUUUUACACCUAUGUUCAUUAGGGAUAUUGGUUUGUAGUUUUCUUUCCUUGAUGUGUCUUUGUCUGAUUUGGUGCCAGAGUGAUACUGGCUUCAUAGGAUAAAUUUUGGAGUCUUCCCUUAUUUUCUAUUUCAUGGGAUAAUUUGAGGAAGAUUGUUGUUUAGUUCUUUAGAGGCCGGGUUAAACUUGACUGAGAACUCCUGGUUGUGAUCGUGAGCUUUUAUUUGCUGGAAUGCUUUUAAUUGCUGCUUUAAUCUUAUUGAUAUUAGUCUGUUUAGGUUUUAUAUACCCUCAUGGCUCAAUUUGUGUAGUUCUUAUUUGUAGAAAUUAAUCAAUAUCUUCUAGGUUUUCUAGUGUGUUUCAGUACAAUUUUUCAAAAUAGUUUCUAAUGAUCCUUUGGAUUUCAGAAAUGUCUGGGAUGAUAUUUCCUUUUUCAUCCCUAAUUUUGUUUAUGUGGGUAUGUGGGGAUGUGUAUGUCUGUCUGUCUGUCUCUCUCUCUCUCUCUCUCUCGGUUAGUUUGGCUGAGCAUUAUCAAUCUUGUUUCAAAGAACCAAGUCUUUGUUGCAUUGAUCCUUUGUAUUGUUUUUCUAGUCUCAAUUUCAUUAGUUUAGAUUCAUGUCAUCUUAAUUAUUUCCUGUCUUCUACUGAAGCAGUUUGUUCUUCCUUUUAAUCAUUGAAGUAUUAUUGAAGUGCUUUAAGGAUCAAGUCACAUUCAAUCAACAUGAGAGAAUUAAAAAGGAACCUUCUUCUUGCAAGGUCAAAAAAUCAAUUACUGAUAAAACUCAUAUGUUUUAUAUUUUUAGUGUUCUGUUGAGAGAAGUUCUUUAGUAAGCAUGUAAAAUAAUACUAAUAGCAAUGACAAAAAUCAUAAGAGCAGUUUUCAUAUAGUAAGAAAUACUUUAUGAUGGGCAUUGUUAAAAUUCUGUGCAUGUUAAGAAAGUUAACUUAAUUAUCACAAUCACCCUCUGAAAUAUGUGCUGUAAUUAUCCUCAUUUAUAGAUGAGAAAACUAUAGCAGAGUUAGGAAAUGAUGAAACAAGUAUGAAGAGGUUAAGUUAGACAUAGCACAUAGGACUACACUUAAAUAUUUUUGUUUCCUAUAGAAAAAAAAGGUAUUUGAAUAUCCAUAAAAUACUCAACUUGUGAUAAUUGUCAUUCACCUAAUAUUAUUGGCAUUUCAUCUAGAACAUGUAUUGCUAGCAAUCUAAAGUUUAAGUCAGGUGAAUCCAACGUAUCAUACAGGACAAACCAUUAUACUUGUGAAUAAGAUCGUAGCUCUAAUUUAUCCUAUAUUAUUAGCUAUAUUGACCUUUCUAACCCAAUAAUAUUUUUCUAUUACUAAGGUAAAAGUGUUCAAAUGUGCAACAUAUGUGAAGUUACUUUCUAAACUCUAAAAUGUUAAGCAAUUGUUAGUAGCAUUCAUUUUUAUCUUUCUCAUCUCAUCCACACAUAUAUUUAUAGUACUUUCAGCAUCUAUAAAUUUCUGCAAAUAAAAUAUGCUAAUGAUAGACUCAUUUAGUCACUUAUUCAACAACUAUACAUGAAUAACUUUAAUAUUCAACAAAAUCUAGGGGAACCUGAACAAGUCUACAAUAUGGAAAAAUUUAGAGGAAGCUAAAUAGAUAUAACAAAGCUCACUAUCAAGCCAUGGGAGAAGGAUGGAACAAACUAGGCAGAGUCCAGAAUAUAUGAAGUUCCUGGAGGGAGAAUGAACUGAGAAAUGUUAAGAAAUACUAUGUUUGGAACAUUGUCAUCAGGGAAUAGGAGAAUUAUAAUUUUUCCUAAGAAAUACAAUAUACUGUGAAUAGUAGAGUAAAUAGGAGAAAAGUCUACAAUAUAGAUGAUGUGUUGGAUGAGUUGAAGGCUGGCUCUUAACAAAUCUUGAAAAUCAUCCAUCUAGAAAUAAAGCUGUCCUUUCAAGAGUUUUCCUGGGCUGAGGGAUCCCUUCAAGAAGUAGUAGCAUGUGAAUACAUAACCAACAACAUUUAAACCAAUCGAAGACAAAGGAUUGUUUUGAAACCUAGAGGACGGCAUGCAGUCAUUGUACCUAAAAAUUUCCUCAGUGGCAGAAUUUAUUUUACUUUACUUUAUGAAUAAAAAAAAAUUGCCAAGGACAAUAUUGCUUGAGUAAAUGACAUGAUCCAACAUCAUAAAAUGUGAUGAAGAUGUACAAAUCUAUAAUUGUAAAAUUUGUUUUGUAAACCUAGGAAUGUGAAAGAUUUUGCUUUGGGCUUAAGACUACAAUGAAAGAAUUAUGAAUUACCUUCAUUUGUGAUUAACUUGGAAUAAAUGUGAAAAUCCUAACCUGGAAUUUAAUAACCUAAUGAAGGUUAGAUUUUUUUCCCAUCUGACUGUGAGUAUUCCAAAGAUUAUUACUAACCUUUCAAAGUUAGAAAGACAACUACAGUAUAUCUCCAAAUAAAAGGCAAAUGAGAUAUAUUCUUGAUUGAGGGUUUAGAAAUAGUUUCACAGCCUGAAAGAUUGGCUUUUAUUGGGUUCAAACAGAUCUUUGUACACCAGUGAAUUAUUAUAUAAAUAUAAAAAUGUCAUAUGUCAAUGAGUGAGAUAUCACAGCCAACUGUAGCAACAUCCAGAUAAAUCACUAAAUGGAUUUCUUUAUUCCUUGCGCCUUAUUUUGAAGGGAGUUAACCUUUGGCAAAAACCACCUGCUUAAGAGACAAUGAAUAAGGAGGCCAAAGAAGUCAUCAGUUGACCUUUGAGAGAACAAGAAGAGCUGAGGGAAGGUACAUGUACAAGAGGAUUAGUAAGUCCUCACCAUGAAUUUGCAUCAUUCUGUGGUAUAGAUGGUGAUAUUGUGUGGAGUUGGGUCUAAGCCCAGUGAAGAACAAGGUGUCAAUUGUUAUGUAUCCAUGGUCAUUAUAAAUGAAUACAACCAAUGAGUUACUGAUUUCAGAAGUGUAGCUGUAAAUUCACCAAAUUAAUAUUUUUUAAAAAGCCAUAAGAAAAAUAUUCUUCCUUUUGUCUCUUUCACUCAUUUACUUACCCAAUAUUGUCAUACUCCAACCAUGGAUGUCCUCAAUUUUCUUCAUGUAUUUGCUUCAAUUAUUGCCUUCAAUGGGAAUGUAAAUCAGCCUCAUCUCCAUUGUUCCAUGUCCAUUAUUUCCUUCAAAGUCAGUUCAAAAUAUAUUACAUUCAUGAAGCUCGUCUGACCAUCUUAACCAACUGUUUGUUUAUAGUUCAUGAAUUUCAAAUAAAUAUUUUUUAUUCAUAAACUCAAUAUGCAUUCAGGAAAAGUAUUAAGAACUGGAAAUAAAUGUACAUAAAAACAAAUGGGUCCAAGGGUCAAGAAUAUUAAUGUUUAGAAGGGAAAUAUACAUAAGAUAAACAGCCAUAUUCAGGAAAUUAUUGAGGUAGAAAUGUGUACCAAAAAGUCACGAGCAUAGAAAAAAAGCACUCAAAUAUUCCUAAGAAACUAAGUAAGACUAUCAUGAAAAAAUAUUAAUUAUAUUAUAAACAAUAUGUAGGAGUUUAGAAGGAAUAAAAUAGGGAAAAGAGAGUGAUCCAUGGAGCAGGAAAAACAGUGAGGAGGCAUGGAUGAGAAACUGGGAGGGGUUGGACCAUAGGAUCUCUGUGGGGAGAAUAUAGAGCAUGAAGCAUUUUCUUAAUCCAGAAAGGAGAGUUAUUUUCAAGGAUCAUGAUCAAAAUAUUUAUAACCAGUACAACACAAGACUUAUGGUUAGAAUAUUUACUUAUGAUUAGAAUAUUUAAGUCAUAGCACUGGAGUUACGUUAAAGAGGGAACAGCUGCACCAAGUUUAGAAUUUUCUCCAGUUGAGGGGAAGUCCACGUGGGCCUUGAAGGCAGGAAUCCAGGGUUCUAAAGCAGAGCAAAAGGAAUUACAGGAGUAAGAACAGUGGAAAUUUGAGAACUGAUAUUUUUAACUAAUGAUGCAUAAUAUUAAUAUGAAUAAUAAAAUAUAAAAUGUGAUAGACAAAGGAGCUGGAUAGAGGAAAAUAAGAACAUAGUGUCACUGACUGAAAGUAUGAAGAAAGCUUUUUCUAGUGCUCUCAGGCAGUCUCAAAGUUUUAAAUAACUUUGGAGAUCUCCUGCAAACUCUUCAUUGCUAUAGUCUAAUGUUCACUAUCUUAACAUGAAAUUCCAAUUAAGAUGACUAGGAGUUAAUUAGAUCUAACAAGGAUGUGAUAGGGAUAAAAAGGAAAAGAUCUUUUCAGGAAAAAGUGACUGGGCAAAGGCUCUCCAGUUAGGAUUCGCAUUAUUUAAUAUAAACAAAGGGAAUUAUCCCUUGGAAAAAAUAUUAAUCUCCGGAAAAUUUGCCUUUGAUGAAUAAUUUUUCCUUUAAGGAAAAUAUUAAAUAUUUGUAAAUAUUACUGUAAAUGGAAAAGUUUCUUGUUUAUAACAUUUUUCAGAGGAGUGUAUGUUAUUUGAUUUUAAACAGUUUUUAUAAAACACCAGUUUUCAAACAUUUUUUUCUUUGACAAUAAUUUAGGCAAUUAGUUAUUUUCUUUAUUGGUAAAUGACUUAACUAGUUAAAGUCAAAGGACAAGCAUAGAUAUUAAACCAACAGUUUGUACCAUCCCCCAUUCAAUGUAUCUUUGCCAUUCACACUACAUGGCUACUGCCAAUGGAAUUUUAACAGUCUUUCUGUCUCACAGGAAUUUCAAAAGUAAGGAAUUUGCAGUUUCAAUAAGUUAAUGUGUGAGUUACUGUACAGGCCCACUUAGAUUUUCUGAGAUUUCCUAACAACUCAUUAUUAAAGACAUUUUCUAUUUUAA